RNAcentral lists this ribosomal RNA (700 nucleotides) under Bacillota bacterium. RNAcentral describes it as "bacterial SSU rRNA". It matches the Rfam family "Bacterial small subunit ribosomal RNA", at positions 69 to 786 of the family's 1533-position model. The record is from RNAcentral. Lineage: Bacteria; Bacillati; Bacillota.
AUGAAGCCUUUCGGGGUGGAUUAGUGGCGAACGGGUGAGUAACACGUGGGCAAUCUGCCCUUCACUCUGGGACAAGCCCUGGAAACGGGGUCUAAUACCGGAUAACACUCUGUCCUGCAUGGGACGGGGUUAAAAGCUCCGGCGGUGAAGGAUGAGCCCGCGGCCUAUCAGCUUGUUGGUGGGGUAAUGGCCUACCAAGGCGACGACGGGUAGCCGGCCUGAGAGGGCGACCGGCCACACUGGGACUGAGACACGGCCCAGACUCCUACGGGAGGCAGCAGUGGGGAAUAUUGCACAAUGGGCGAAAGCCUGAUGCAGCGACGCCGCGUGAGGGAUGACGGCCUUCGGGUUGUAAACCUCUUUCAGCAGGGAAGAAGCGAAAGUGACGGUACCUGCAGAAGAAGCGCCGGCUAACUACGUGCCAGCAGCCGCGGUAAUACGUAGGGCGCAAGCGUUGUCCGGAAUUAUUGGGCGUAAAGAGCUCGUAGGCGGCUUGUCACGUCGGAUGUGAAAGCCCGGGGCUUAACCCCGGGUCUGCAUUCGAUACGGGCUAGCUAGAGUGUGGUAGGGGAGAUCGGAAUUCCUGGUGUAGCGGUGAAAUGCGCAGAUAUCAGGAGGAACACCGGUGGCGAAGGCGGAUCUCUGGGCCAUUACUGACGCUGAGGAGCGAAAGCGUGGGGAGCGAACAGGAUUAGAUACC